CUUUGUAGAGGGGACCAAGUGUGGUUCCUCCGCAUGCCGUACGGCAUCUCCACUGGCAGUGAGGUCUUCCAGAGAUCGAUGGAGCAUCUGUUUGCUGGGCAGCCAUGUAAGAUAGUGGACGACAUCCUGGUGUGGGGGACACACACUGGAUGAACACGAUGAGCGCCUCAAACAGGUCCUCAACAGGAUUAGGGCUGUCAACGUGAAGCUGAAUCCAGAGAAGUGCAGAUUCAGGCUCCAUAACAUUCCCUACGUCGGGCAACUUCUCACAGCCAACAGAGUGAAACCUGACCUGGAAAAGACAGGCCAUCAUGCAGAUGCCCAAGCCAGCAGAAAAGCAGACACUGCAGCACUUUCUGGGUCUGACUAACUAUCUAAGUUCACGCCACAAUACAGUGAGGUGAUGGGGCUCCUCUAUCAGGAUACUGAAUGAUGCUGUAAGGAGCAACAUGACACUGCCCUGACCAAACUGAAAGAGUUGCUGUCGAAGUACUGGAGCACCGGUUAGCUAUGAUGUGGGCAAACCAGUGAUGAUAUCUGCAGAUGCAUCCCAGCAUGGUCUCGGAGAAAUAUGUCUACAAAUAAAAUUGUAUUUGUCACAUGCUUCGUAAACAACAGUGGAAUGCUUACUUAUGGGCCCUUCCCAACAAUGCAGAGAGAAAAAUAUAGAAAAAGAAUAACACAAGGAACAAAUACACAAUGAAUAACAAUAACUUGGCUGUAUGCAGAGGGUACCAGUACCGAGUUGAUGUGCAGGGGUAAGAGGUACAGUUGAAGUCGGAAGUUUACAUACAACUCAGCCAAAUACAUUUAAACUCAGUUUUUCACAAUUCCUGACAUUUAAUCCUAUUAAAAUUCCCUGUCUUAGGUCAGUUAGAUCACCAGUUUAUUUUAAGAAUGUGAAAUGUCAGGAUAAUAGUAGAGAGAAUGAUUUAUUUCAGCUUUUAAUUCUUUCAUCACAUUCCCCCUGGAUCAGAAGUUUACAUACACUUAGUAUUUGGUAGCAUUGCCUUUAAAUUGUUUAACUUGGGUCAAACGUUCAGGUAGCCUUCCACAAGCUUUCCACAAUAAGUUUUGGUGAAUUUUGGCCCAUUCCUCCUGACAGAGCUGGUGUAACUGAGUCAGGUUUGUAGGCCUCCUUGCUCACACACGCUUUAUCAGUUCUGCCCACACAUUUUCUAUAGGAUUGAGGUCAAGGCUUGUGAUGGCCACUCCAAUACCUUGACUUUGUUGUCCUUAAGCCAUUUUGCCACAACUUUGGAAGUAUGGUUUGGGUCAUUGUCCAUUUGGAAGACCCAUUUGCGACCAAGCUUUAACUUCCUGACUGAUGUCUUGAGAUGUAGCUUCAAUAUAUCCACAUAAUUUUCCUUCCUCGUGUUGCCAUCUAUUUUGUGAAGAAGCACCAGUCCCUCCUGCAGCAAAGCACCCCCAGAGCAUGAUGCUGCCACCCCCAUGCUACACGGUUGGGAUGGUGUUCUUCGGCUUGCAAGCCUCCCCCUUUUUCCUCCAAACAUAACGAUGGUCAUUAUGGCCAAACAGUUGAAUUUUUGUUUCAUCAGACCAGAGGACAUUUCUCCAAAAAGUACGAUCUUUGUGCCCAUGUGCAGUUGCAAACCGUAGUCUGGCUUUUUUAUUGCAGUUUUGGAGCAGUGGCUUCUUCCUUGCUGAGCGGCCUUUCAGGUUAUGUCGAUAUAGGACUCGUUUUACUGUGGAUAUAGAUACUUUUGUACAGCAUGUUCACAAGGUCAUUUGCUGUUGUUCUGGAAUUGAUUUGCACUUUUCGCACCAAAGUACGUUCAUCUCUAGGAGACAGAAUGUGUCUCAUUCCAUGAGCGGUAUGACUGCUGCAUGGUCCCAUGGUGUUUAUACUUGCAUACUAUUGUUUGUACAGAUGAACGUGGUACCUUCAGGCAUUUGGAAUUUGCUCCCAAGGAUGAACCAGACUUGUGGAGGUCUACACUUUUUUUCUGAGGUCUUGGCUGAUAAUUUUUUUCCCCCCAUGAUAUCA
Molecule: long non-coding RNA, 2008 nt
Filed under: Salmo salar (Atlantic salmon)
Lineage: Eukaryota; Metazoa; Chordata; Actinopteri; Salmoniformes; Salmonidae
Description: lncRNA (ENSSSAG00000101543.1)
Source: RNAcentral